GGAAGUAAAAGCGUAACAAGGUUUCCGUAGGUGAACCUGCGGAAGGAUCAUUACUGAGUGAGGGCCCUCUGGGUCCAACCUCCCACCCGUGUUUAUUGUACCUUGUUGCUUCGGUGCGCCCGCCUCACGGCCGCCGGGGGGCUUCUGCCCCCGGGUCCGCGCGCACCGGAGACACUAUUGAACUCCGUCUGAAGAUUGCAGUCUGAGCAUAAACUAAAUAAGUUAAAACUUUCAACAACGGAUCUCUUGGUUCCG
This 255-nucleotide unclassified non-coding RNA is filed under the name plant metagenome. RNAcentral's name for it is "partial contains small subunit ribosomal RNA, internal transcribed spacer 1, and 5.8S ribosomal RNA". The stretch from base 1 to 53 matches the Rfam family "Eukaryotic small subunit ribosomal RNA", at positions 1778 to 1831 of the family's 1831-position model. The record is from RNAcentral.